Molecule: small nuclear RNA, 316 nt
Filed under: Anolis carolinensis (green anole)
Lineage: Eukaryota; Metazoa; Chordata; Lepidosauria; Squamata; Anolidae
Description: 7SK RNA
Rfam family: 7SK RNA
About the family: 7SK was discovered as an abundant small nuclear RNA in the mid-70s but a possible function has only recently been suggested. Two independent studies have found that 7SK RNA binds the CDK9/cyclin T complex (known as elongation factor P-TEFb). P-TEFb activates transcription by phosphorylating the C-terminal domain of RNA polymerase II.
Source: Rfam by way of RNAcentral
UAGUGUGAGGGCGAUCUGGCUGUGACAUCUGUCAUCCCAUUGAUUGCCAGGCUGAUCUGGCUGGCUAGACAGAUGUCCCCUUCGUCCCUCACUGCUCCAUGUGCAUCCCUCCUGAAGCUGCACACUCGAUAGAAGAGGACGAUGUCCCAGGUGUAGAAGGAAUGUACCAAGGUCUCCAGUCUUCGGUCCCAGCUAUACGAUAGCUGCACUCCCCUGCUAGAACUUCCAAAUUUCCUUUGACCAGAAUCUGGCAACUUGGAAUGCCUCUGGUGUCGCUGUGAGAAGGUCCUCCAUUGUGCAUGAGGCAGGCCUCGGA